UGGAACAGCUCGGUCGGUAGAGCAUGAGACUCUUAAUCUCAGGGUUGUGGGUUCGAGCCCUACAUUGGGCAAAA
This 74-nucleotide transfer RNA is filed under the name Podarcis lilfordi (Lilford's wall lizard). Its description in RNAcentral is "tRNA.Lys". The stretch from base 7 to 63 matches the Rfam family "tRNA", at positions 9 to 63 of the family's 71-position model. From Rfam's summary of the family: Transfer RNA (tRNA) molecules are approximately 80 nucleotides in length. The record is from RNAcentral. Lineage: Eukaryota; Metazoa; Chordata; Lepidosauria; Squamata; Lacertidae.